Non-coding RNA from Lactuca sativa (garden lettuce), 397 nucleotides. The record is from RefSeq and is a predicted model, not a curated record. NCBI's taxonomy places the organism in Eukaryota, Viridiplantae, Streptophyta, Magnoliopsida, Asterales, Asteraceae.
CUUUAAGGUGCGGAUGAGAGCACCUUCACACCCACCAUCUUAAUCAUUUUUACUUUCUCUCUUCAAGAUCAAGCUUCAAUCUUCAAACCCUAAGUUCUUCCAAGUGUUCUUGAAGUUUUGGAUCUUCAAAUCUUCAAAGUGUUCUUGACUUGAAACUUUCCAUCCAUAGCCUUCCAUUCAUCAAGAAAGCCACUCCAAAAGAAAUUACUAAAACAGGUAACCACAAGCUUUUGAGGAUGGGACGCUGCCAGACAACUUUUUUUAUCAUCAUAUUGUAAUUGAUUUUGAAACAUGUAACUCUUACAACAAUGUAACGUUUUCAGUUAUGUUUAUGAUGAUUGUGUUUGCUUUCGUUACUAAUAUGUGUUAUGUUAUGAUACAAUACAUGAAAGUCAGC